UAUCCGUGAUGUGAGCAUGCACUUAGAAGAUCCUUAAACCUCUCUCAGCAUUUGAAGAAGGUUUCUUCCUCUUUCUGCGGAAAGUUCAUAAUGGCCCUUCUAAGGGU
This is a small nucleolar RNA of Magnolia sinica, 107 nucleotides long. NCBI's taxonomy places the organism in Eukaryota, Viridiplantae, Streptophyta, Magnoliopsida, Magnoliales, Magnoliaceae. The record is from RefSeq and is a predicted model, not a curated record.